UCUAUUUUGGCAGAAUAAUUGUGUCAAAUUUAGAAUUUGAGUAUGAUUUUAUCAAAUAGAA
RNAcentral lists this transfer RNA (61 nucleotides) under Alectorobius guaporensis. Its description in RNAcentral is "tRNA-Leu". The record is from RNAcentral. Lineage: Eukaryota; Metazoa; Arthropoda; Arachnida; Ixodida; Argasidae.